Molecule: long non-coding RNA, 307 nt
Filed under: Dunaliella salina
Lineage: Eukaryota; Viridiplantae; Chlorophyta; Chlorophyceae; Chlamydomonadales; Dunaliellaceae
Description: long non-coding RNA (DSAL_LNC000237)
Source: RNAcentral
UAAAAUCCCUGACACGCAGUUUGGAUUUUGGCCUACGAGGAAUACCAACCAACCCUUGUACAUUUUGCGCCAUGCCCUUUCAGCAGCCAAGGCAAACAAGAAAAAGCUGUACACUGUCUUCCUAGACCUUCAAGCUGCAUAUGACAAACUGUGGGAAUAUUUGAACUAUUAAGAUACCGGAAUACUUGCUACGCGCCAUCAUGGCCAUGUACCAAGGAGGAGUUUAUAUCCUUGUUGACGGGGACAAGAUGUCAGGCGAAGUGGCAUCUAACAAAGGGCUGAAACAAGGAUGCCUACUGAGCCCUCU